This 468-nucleotide ribosomal RNA is filed under the name uncultured bacterium. RNAcentral describes it as "partial 16S ribosomal RNA". It matches the Rfam family "Bacterial small subunit ribosomal RNA", at positions 28 to 507 of the family's 1533-position model. The record is from RNAcentral.
GACGAACGCUGGCGGCGUGCUUAACACAUGCAAGUCGAACGGAAAGGCCCUGCUUUUGUGGGGUGCUCGAGUGGCGAACGGGUGAGUAACACGUGAGUAACCUGCCCCUGACUUUGGGAUAACUUCAGGAAACUGGGGCUAAUACCGGAUAGGAGCUCCUGCUGCAUGGUGGGGGUUGGAAAGUUUCGGCGGUUGGGGAUGGACUCGCGGCUUAUCAGCUUGUUGGUGGGGUAGUGGCUUACCAAGGCUUUGACGGGUAGCCGGCCUGAGAGGGUGACCGGGCACAAGGGGACUGAGGUACGGACCAGACGGCUACGGGAGGCAGCAGUGGGGAGUAUUGCACAAUGGGCGGAAGCCUGAUGCAGCAGCGCCGCGUGCGGGAUGACGGCCUUCGGGUUGUAAACCAAUUUGGCCUGUGACGAGGCGUGAGUGACGGUAAUGGGUAAAGAAGCACCGGCUAACUACGUG